GGAUUGUGUCGAGGCACAGAUCUGGGGAAGGGUACCAAAACAUUUCUGCAGCAUUGAAGGUCCCCAAGAACACAGUGGCCUUCAUCAUUCUUAAAUCGAAGACGUUUGGAACCACCGAGACUCUUCCUAGAGCUGGCCGCCCAGCCUAACUUAGCAAUCGGGGGACAAGGUUAACGAGGACAAACAGCAUGAUUCAUCAACAGAAAACAAGAAAAAGAAUGCCUGGACUACCAUUUGUAAUGAAUUCAACUCAAAUGAAAAAAGUUGAACAAAAAGGAUGCUACAACAACUUCAGGUCCUGUGGAAAAACAUACAAAUCUACUUAACAGUCUUGAUAGGCUCCCCACGAGCCUAUCAAGACUGUUAAGGCCAGCGACCGAGAAAAAAAAAGAAAAAAAAGCUGGGGGACUUGUUGACUGGGAUCAUUGAUAGCCAGCAACCCCUCGAAGGUAUCCCCGAUAAUGACCAUUUGGACAGUUAAGAUGGGGCACCGUUCCAAUCCUUAUUUGAGCAGAUCACCGUAGCUUGGAGGGGACUUGUCUUAACAGGAAGGUCAGCUCGUUACAUCUGCAGCAGCCAGGAGGGAAGAUUGUGUCGCUAAUCCGGGCCGGAGGACAAAGAGGCUGCGCAUGCAUGAGAAACUGCCCAUGGAAUUUCAUGAGCGAAAACUAAUGUAUUUAAAAGGGCAUGAUAUGAAGAUGCAAAUCCUACAUGUUGAGUUGGCUAUGAAGGAGAAGGAAAGAAACAUGAAGCAGCAGCAGUUGAGGGUCUUGACAUUUCCAUUUGUGAAUUAAAAACCUUUUUGUUACCAA
This 812-nucleotide long non-coding RNA is filed under the name Salmo salar (Atlantic salmon). Its description in RNAcentral is "lncRNA (ENSSSAG00000085928.1)". Lineage: Eukaryota; Metazoa; Chordata; Actinopteri; Salmoniformes; Salmonidae. The record is from RNAcentral.